Molecule: transfer RNA, 85 nt
Filed under: Felis catus (domestic cat)
Lineage: Eukaryota; Metazoa; Chordata; Mammalia; Carnivora; Felidae
Rfam family: tRNA
About the family: Transfer RNA (tRNA) molecules are approximately 80 nucleotides in length. Their secondary structure includes four short double-helical elements and three loops (D, anti-codon, and T loops).
Source: Rfam by way of RNAcentral
GCAUGGAUGGCUCAGAUGGUUAAGCCUCUGACUUCGGCUCAGGUCAUGAUCUUGCAGUUUGUGGGUUCAAGCCCCACGCCAGGCU